Molecule: ribosomal RNA, 201 nt
Filed under: Staphylococcus aureus
Lineage: Bacteria; Bacillati; Bacillota; Bacilli; Caryophanales; Staphylococcaceae
Description: partial 23S ribosomal RNA
Rfam family: Bacterial large subunit ribosomal RNA
Source: RNAcentral
ACCCGCACCACUUAUCGUGGUGGGAGACAGUGUCAGGCGGGCAGUUUGACUGGGGCGGUCGCCUCCUAAAAGGGAACGGAGGCGCUCAAAGGGUCCCUCAGAAUGGUUGGAAAUCAUUCAUAGAGUGUAAAGGCAUAAGGGAGCUUGACUGCGAGACCUACAAGUCGAGCAGGGUCGAAAGACGGACUUAGUGAUCCGGUG